Molecule: long non-coding RNA, 5338 nt
Organism: Equus caballus (horse)
Lineage: Eukaryota; Metazoa; Chordata; Mammalia; Perissodactyla; Equidae
Source: Ensembl
CUGGCUGGACAGAUUGUCCCAAAGAGGUGGUGCCCAGGAUCUAGACUGGAAGUCAGCAACUGACCCGGUGAGGGCUGUAGGAGCUCCAGCCGCGGUGCCCGCACUAAGAAUGACUACCAUGCUGGAGGUCUUGCUGUUUCUUUUCGUCCUCCUCAUCUGCUUCUUACUGCUCCUCUGUUACUGCAUCUUUCAAGAGGAAUAAGCUCCAUCUCCUCCAGUCGGGGAACAUGUGCUGGUUUGCCCAGAAGCACAUCUCCGUCCAUCUUCUACUGAAGACAGGAAGGACUGCUACAUAUGGUUGUGCAGGUUGUGUACUGCCCAACUCAUGGAAGCACCAUUUACAUCAUAGUCUCUGGCUGAGAAGCAGAGAUGUUGAGGAUGCUUGGCUGAACCCAGAAAACGCUUGAUGUUUUCCUAGCACAUCCUCUGGUACAGCAGAGUGACCCUGUGUUUUACCUUCUUGAGGGGGGUUUCAAAAAUCCCCAUUCUAAUCCUCAAAUGGUGGGCCCUUCUAAUAAAGACCUUUGUGACUAUCUCUGAAGGGCAACAUUUUGGCAGAACUUUUCCCUUCAAGCUUAAUGAGGUCAGGCAGAAGAUAAUUAAACUUGUGACAGGGAAGAAGAGAAAGGUUUGCAAGGAGUAGAGGGGCUUUCUGAGAAAAUUCAGCCCUUAACUCUAGGACCUCUGAUACUCAAACUCUCAAUUCUCAAAGUUAACUUCACAGCCAAAGGAUAGGCGCUUCCACCCUUUUCAUAGCUCUGGGAGAAGUCACCCAUCUUAGAGGUCUCUCAUCUCAUGAGGGGGUUGGAGGAUGUCACAUGCACAGGUCACCCCUCAGGGCCUCUGUGGUCUACCUGUGCUUGGGAUGCUUGGCCAAGACCCAGCUCCUUCCUGGGUGAGCUGACUGGGCAGGUACUACCCAGUGAGGCAGUGGGCGGAGAGCCUGCAGCCAGCGGUGAAAGGAAGAAGACUGAAGCUGGCAGAGCUGGGUCCUAUGUCCACCUGUCACCAUUGACAAAGGCUGCUUCCACCUGAAAUUAGCCAAUAUUUUUUUAGGAUGUUUAUAUCUACAAUCAUGAGUGUAUUGGCCUGUAAUUUACUUUUCUUUUACUGACCCUGUCUAAUUUGGGGGUCAUGAAAAUUUUGUGAACUAAGCACCGUUCCAUCUUUUUCUCCUAUCUGGGAGACUGUGUAAGGCUGCGAAGCUUUGUAGAAUUUAUCUAUAAAGACGCCUGGCUAUGAUGUUUUCUUUUUGGGGAGAUCAUUAACUACUGAUUCAAUCUUUAAAAGUGUUAUAAGAUUAUCCAGGUUUGCUAUUUUUCCUUAAGGCAAUUUGGUUAAAUAUUUUCUAGGAAUGUAUCACUUUAUCUAAAUUUUAAAUUUUACAAGCAAAAAGUCAAACAUAUUAUUCACUUUUUUACUUUCUGCUCCGACUAUACCAUGUCCCCUUUCUCACUCCUGAAAUUGUUUAGCUAUGUUGCUGUAAAUAUGGUUAUGCUCAAUUCUACCAUUUUAGUCUCUGUUCUUGUUAUUUCAUUGAUUUUAAUUUAUUUGGAUCAGUUCAACUGUCAUUUGUCUCAUCUUUCAAGCCCUCAGGAGCCAAGAGCAGACUGGGACACAUGGAAUUUUUCUUACAUUUCAGAAUUGAGUCCCUCUCCUGUUGCAACAAUGAGAGUGUCUCUUUCUUCUCUUGUCUCAGUAUUAAAGAUCCUCUAUUACAGACCGUGCAAUGAGAUGUCGAGAUAUUGCCCCAUCCAGUUCCUAACUUCUUCACACAUCAACACAUGCGUCCACUCCCCCACCCCUUCCCCCACUUCAGCUGCUGAGACUUCCUCUUCCUCCCUUUCCCUGAACAUCUUGCUAUUCCUCCUUUCUAUUUGAGUCCUUCAAAAUCCCACCAAGGCACAACACCUCCCAGAAGCCACAUUAUUUGGAAAUUGAUUGAAGUCUGACUCUACUCACAGCUCCAUAACUAGCCUCCGAGCUCCUUUAGGAUCCACGCUUCCUCACACUCAAGAUACAAAAUCAAGGAAGAAAGCAUCAUUUUCCCAGCUUGGGUCCCACAUCCAAUCCGUCGUCAGGGGAGGGCAGGACUCUCUCAGUGACACUCUCAACAAGACUGAAUUCAACAGGAAGAGUGAAUGCCAGAAGAAAAUCAGAGUGAAGGAGUAGAUAGGUCAAAACUACAGAUAUCCUAGCCAUUUAAUAUCCAGAGUCAUGUGAGAAUAGGCGGUUUGUUGGUCCUAGUUUUUCUAAGGGAGCCUCUAAAGUUUCUCCUUGAAACAUAAUGUUGUUGGCUGGUGAUGGUCUGGAUCACAUGAUGAAAAUAUCCCUUUAGUCCAAGUACUCCAAAAUAUACUUUUCUGAACAGUAAUAGAAAUUAAAUAUUAUCAAACACAUUUUCAAGCACCUAUUAAGUUGCUCUUAGAUUUGCUUUCCUGUUUGAAUUUAGAUUCUGAUACCUACUGUUAGGAGAGGCAGUCUGCCAUGGACCCUGAGCAUCUAUGUACAUUCCUGCUGGGUUUGCCAAGAAUGUAAGGCCCUGGCUGCUGUUUUCCUGGGCCGUCUCUUAGCGUCAUGUUUUGCAGUGAGUAACCUUGAGGGAUGAGGUAAAGUCUCCUCUCAGACUAACAGCAGGCUUACUUCUCUUUCCUUUAAAGAUGUUGAAUUCUGCAAGCUCACUGUCCUCUCCUGUAACACUGUAACACAGUGUGCGUGCAGGCAUUCAUCACGGGCCCUAUGCCAUCCCCAUGGGACUUGUGAGGCAUAAGAACCAACGUGAAUGUGAAGCUCCCUCUGCUUUGCCAUGAGUAACAGAGUCCUUGAACCCUGACUCAGGAAUUUCACGUCCUCUUCCAGCAGCCAUGAAACAAUAACAGGCUAACUCUUUAGCUUGAAAGUAGGGCUAACUCUCAGACUAUGCACAGUUCUUAACACAUAUUAACUGCAUGACCUUGGACAAGUCAAUUAAACUUUCUGAGCUUUUGUUUCCUCAUCAGCAAAGUGGACAACACUAGUGUUUACCUUUUAAGAUUGGUAUGAUGACUAAAUGGAUCAAAAUACCUGAAAUAUUGUGUUUUCUCAAAAAAUAUUAGACGCUAUACUUGUAUUCCCUGUAGUGUUGACAGAGGGGCAUGGCAGUGACAGAUGUCAUACUAUGACAAACACAGUUGAUCUGCCUCCGUGAACUUCACAUCUUCACACUGUUUUACUUUCUACAUAUAUUCCUGAGCAUAGUCUGCUAAUAUUUUCAUGCCUGGCUCCUUCUUUUCCAUCAGGUUUUAGAUUAAAUAUCUCCUCAGAGAGGCCCCUGCUGUCCUUGCUAAGUAGGUCCCCACUGUCAUUGUCUGCUAUACCAUCCUGCCCAUUUGCUUUGUAGCACUUGUCAUGAUUUUCAUGAUUGCAUUUGCUGACUCAUUUGUUUAUUAUCCCCACUAGAAUAUAACCGACAAAGUCAGAAACCACGUCUGUCUUCUUUAGUAUAUUUCCAAUGCUUAGCCCAGUCCCUGAUUUGAAGUAGCUGCUCAGUAGAUUUUUCUGGAUGGAUGGGAAUCUAGAUAAACAGAUUGAUGAGAGGAUAAAUGGAUGGAUGAGCAGAUGGAUGGAUGGAUGGAUGGACGGACGGACGGAUGAGGAAGCUGGUGCUCCAUAAACGUUUUCUGGAUAAAGGGAUGGAUGGAUGGGUGGGAUGGUUGGAAGAUGGAGGGAUGUUUGGAUACUUGGCAAGUCAGAUUUUCAGCUCCGAUCCUCUAGGGGGCGCAAAGGGACUGCAUGCGCAGGUUCGGCCCAGGGAGACACGGCUCUCCGCCGCAGCCUGAGCGCCAGCCGCAUUUCCUCCGGCGCAGGGCGGGUGGGGGCCGUGUCCUGAUCUUGUGGCUCCCGUCCCGAGCUGUCCCAAACCAUCCCGCAGCUUCUCGCGCCGUCCCUUCUGACCCGUCGCCGACAGUUCUGGCCCCUUGGGUGAGUCACUGCUGGACCACGUCGCACUGGAACCCCCGGCGGCCUCCAGGGCCGGAGCUGCGUCCCCCUGCCCCGACAGGAGGGGAAACUGAGGCCGUGCGGGGGCGGGGAGAGCGGCCAGUGGUCAGCUCCCAGCCCAGGCCCGCCCCGGUUCCGUGCCCGCCCCCUCGGCCGGGGUGGUCCUCUCGGGAUUCGUGUCCUCGAGAAAGGGGCCCGCAGGGCAGCCCCCGCUGCUCCGGAGCCGCGGGCGUGCGGUCCCCCGAUCUCAGCGCCCGGUGGGAGGACUCGUCCCGCUAACGGCGAGAGACGGGCCCGGCGACGCGUGGCCCGAGGGCCCGCAGGGCGCCGUGCGGAGCCCGGGUGAAGCGGGCCGGAGGGCGCCGAGCCCGCGAUCCUCUCCGCCCCACCUCCUCGCCUCCUGGCGUUCGAUCCCCCAGGGCCCCUCGGCGCUUCCUACCAGGCCCUGCGGCUGCCGAGCUCGCGGAGAGAUGGGACCUCGGCCUCGGACGGCUGAGCGGGCUCUGCGUCCGCCGGCGCCCCCUGCUCUCCUGCGGGGCUCUGACCCGCGCUGCCCGACGCGCCCUCCGUGUCCAGCGACUGAGGCUGUGCCCUGGCUCAGCGCCUGGUGGGGGUCCAGUGUUCACCAGUUGUGAACAAAUGCACAAGAGAGAAGAAAAGGAGAGACACAUCCUUGUAAGGUGGCAUGGCCUCAUCACGUUGUGGAAGAUCAGAGAAAGACUACGUGGGAGCCAACCAGAGGGAGAGGGGGCAGCUCGGUGCAGAGGGGCCCUUGAGAGGUGUCUCCAUCCUGUCAGGAAGCAGCUGGACCACAGUGCUCCCAAGAUGAGUCCACUGUGUGCCAAGGUGGUCAUGGGAGUUAUCAUGUCAGGAACAUUCUAGACCCCAGUGUCCUUGAGGGGUGCUGCUGUAGAUCUGGAGCUCGUUGGAGGAAGCCUCAAGGGGUUGGACGCACUGGCCCUCUCAGGAUGCUUACCUGGGUCCCAGUUCUCCUGGAGAGGCCUCCUCGUGAUUAUUUUGGAGUUCAUCACAGACACUGGUGUAGCAGAGUGAAGAGUGAUGUUGCCACAUGACACCUCGCCAGACCUUCUAACCCUGUUGUAUCAGCAAAACAUAGGAGGACUUUUCCCUCAGCGUGAGUGGAUACAUGAGGCUUAUGUCCAGAGCUGGCUCUGCCCUUCCCCAGCAGUGUCGCAGAGCGUCAUGGACCAAGAAGACUGGUUUCCUUUCGUCUGGGCCAGGUCAUUCAGUGGCCUCCAUGUCCCCCUGUCCUCCAGUGUAACUUUUUAGAGCCAAGAGUUUUCUGUGCUUUGUAUCCUUGUCCUCUCACCCACCAAAUAAAUCUUGAAACUGCCCCGUU